CUGUAUUUGAACAAUUUCUAAAAGUCAUCUUUAAAAUUAAUCCCCUGAUAAUCAGACAAGUUUGGAUGUUUUGUUCUGUUUUUUUCCUAAUUGCAUUUGCAAAGCAUUUUAAGAAUUGGCUUAACAUUUUAUAUGCGCUGAUAUUAGAUCAAAAUGGAGGCAUUUAUGCCGCAUGCAUUGUAAAUCAAAUACUUCCUUAUUUGAUAUGAGUUUCCUUAACAAACUCAUAUAAAAGACAAAACAGUCAAAUAACUGAGCCUUAGUUAUGAAACACUGUAGUUGCAUGUUCUCAUAACAUAAACAUUUACAGUAACUGGGUUAUUCACAGAUGAAAAUCAAAUCCAUUUCAGUUCAGAUAAUCAUUCUGCAUUAGAAAAAUGAAUAAAUUAAAAGUAUGCUCCAGCAAUUUACUCUUCCCAAGCAGCUAUCCUGCACGCUCUGCAGAGGAUGUCAAAACCUGCUGAUAUCUAGCAGAGUCAACUCCCAAGUUUGUGUAUCCCGGUCCAUUCUACCUUUCCAUCAGGCAGUACAUGUGGAAAUGGAAAAAUAGCUCUCUAAUUAAUCAAAGUCAGAUCUGCCUGAACGCCUGGAGUUGCUGCUGAUCCUUGUCCCAGCUUCUACCAUGUUCUCUCUCUAUGUUUUUUACCUUGAAAACUUCUGCUCUGAGCUGGGAAUGCCUGAAGGGCUUGCACGAGCUGUGUCUGAAAACUAUGAGGACCUGAAAACUUGAAGGCAAGGUCUGCUGUAGAUUUUUAAAACUUUGUAUGAGUCACAGGAUUUUGAGCUUCUCCUUCACUGAAAUACCUUGUCACAAAGACAGGAUGGCCACCCUCUUUUUUCACUCUGCCUCCAGGCCCUCCUUGUGGCCUGUAACUGUGGUCUCUGGAGCAAUGUCUGAGCUGGAUGUGGAGAUUUACAUGGAAGGUACCUCUGAGUUGUGGGUCCUAUCUGAAAGAUUUCUGAAGCAGAUGUACACCUGGAACACUUUAAAAUCUCAGCUUCAUCUCUCC
This 1010-nucleotide long non-coding RNA is filed under the name Zonotrichia albicollis (white-throated sparrow). RNAcentral describes it as "lncRNA (ENSZALG00000007211.1)". Lineage: Eukaryota; Metazoa; Chordata; Aves; Passeriformes; Passerellidae. The record is from RNAcentral.